GCGAAAACUUUACAAUGCUGGCAACAGCGAUAAGGGAACCUCGAGUGCCAGGUUACAAAUCUGGCUGUCGAGAUGCCUAAAAAGCAUUUCAUAGCAAGGGCCGGGCAAGACCGGUGCCAGCCGCCGCGGUAACACCGGCGGCUCGAGUGGUAACCGUUAUUAUUGGGUCUAAAGGGUCUGUAGCCGGCCGGAUAAGUCUCUUGAGAAAUCUGGCAGCUUAACUGUCAGGCUUUCAGGAGAUACUGUCUGGCUCGAGGCCGGGAGAGGUGAGAGGUACUUCAGGGGUAGGGGUGAAACCUUGUAAUCCUUGAAGGACCACCAGUGGCGAAGGCGUCUCACCAGAACGGACCCGACGGCAAGGGACGAAAGCUAGGGGCACGAACC
Molecule: ribosomal RNA, 384 nt
Filed under: uncultured prokaryote
Description: bacterial SSU rRNA
Rfam family: Archaeal small subunit ribosomal RNA
Source: RNAcentral